AUUGAACGCUGGCGGCAGGCCUAACACAUGCAAGUCGAGCGGAUGAAGGGAGCUUGCUCCUGGAUUCAGCGGCGGACGGGUGAGUAAUGCCUAGGAAUCUGCCUGGUCGUGGGGGAUAACGUCCGGAAACGGGCGCUAAUACCGCAUACGUCCUGAGGUAGAAAGUGGGGGAUCUUCGGACCUCACGCUAUCAGAUGAGCCUAGGUCGGAUUAGCUAGUUGGUUGGGUAAAGGCCUACCAAGGCGACGAUCCGUAACUGGUCUGAGAGGAUGAUCAGUCACACUGGAACUGAGACACGGUCCAGACUCCUACGGGAGGCAGCAGUGGGGAAUAUUGGACAAUGGGCGAAAGCCUGAUCCAGCCAUGCCGCGUGUGUGAAGAAGGUCUUCGGAUUGUAAAGCACUUUAAGUUGGGAGGAAGAGCAGUAAGUUAAUACCUUGCUGUUUUGACGUUACCAACAGAAUAAGCACCGGCUAACUCCGUG
Molecule: ribosomal RNA, 484 nt
Filed under: uncultured bacterium
Lineage: Bacteria
Description: partial 16S ribosomal RNA
Rfam family: Bacterial small subunit ribosomal RNA
Source: RNAcentral